RNAcentral lists this long non-coding RNA (214 nucleotides) under Elaeis guineensis (African oil palm). RNAcentral describes it as "long non-coding RNA (EGUI_LNC038304)". The record is from RNAcentral. Lineage: Eukaryota; Viridiplantae; Streptophyta; Magnoliopsida; Arecales; Arecaceae.
GAGUGAUUGAUGAAAAAGAGUUUUCAUAGACAUCACAUCUGGACUUGAGCUAAUUAAAUCUAUUAUAUGACUGAUGUUGAGGUUUGAUGAUUUAUUUAUGACCUGCCAUCUACUCGAAACUCACGAUAGAGGGACUGAAUCAUAUGUUAACUACACCUAGAGGUUUAUUUCAGCUCUACUAGGUUAUCACUACAUACUGCUAGGUGUCACUGAU